Molecule: ribosomal RNA, 253 nt
Filed under: uncultured bacterium
Lineage: Bacteria
Description: partial 16S ribosomal RNA
Rfam family: Bacterial small subunit ribosomal RNA
Source: RNAcentral
GACGUAGGGGGCCAGCGUUGUUCGGAAUUACUGGGUGUAAAGGGUUCGUAGGCGGUGCGGCAAGUUGGGAGUGAAAUCUCUGGGCUUAACCCAGAGGCUGCUUCCAAAACUGCUGUGCUUGAGUGUGAGAGAGGCGCGUGGAAUUGCAGGUGUAGCGGUGAAAUGCGUAGAUAUCUGCAGGAACACCCGUGGCGAAAGCGGCGCGCUGGACCACUACUGACGCUGAGGAACGAAAGCUAGGGGAGCAAACAGG